AGUCGUAACAAGGUUUCCGUAGGUGAACCUGCGGAAGGAUCAUUAAAGAAAUUUAAUAAUUUUGAAAAUGGAUUUUUUUGUUUUGGCAAGAGCAUGAGAGCUUUUACUGGGCAAGAAGACAAGAGAUGGAGAGUCCAGCCGGGCCUGCGCUUAAGUGCGCGGUCUUGCUAGGCUUGUAAGUUUCUUUCUUGCUAUUCCAAACGGUGAGAGAUUUCUGUGCUUUUGUUAUAGGACAAUUAAAACCGUUUCAAUACAACACACUGUGGAGUUUUCAUAUCUUUGCAACUUUUUCUUUGGGCAUUCGAGCAAUCGGGGCCCAGAGGUAACAAACACAAACAAUUUUAUCUAUUCAUUAAAUUUUUGUCAAAAACAAGAAUUUUCGUAACUGGAAAUUUUAAAAUAUUAAAAACUUUCAACAACGGAUCUCUUGGUUCUCGCAUCGAUGAAGAACGCAGCGAAAUGCGAUACGUAAUGUGAAUUGCAGAAUUCCGUGAAUCAUCGAAUCUUUGAACGCACAUUGCGCCCCUUGGUAUUCCAGGGGGCAUGCCUGUUUGAGCGUCAUUUCCUUCUCAAACAUUCUGUUUGGUAGUGAGUGAUACUCUUUGGAGUUAACUUGAAAUUGCUGGCCUUUUCAUUGGAUGUUUUUUUUCCAAAGAGAGGUUUCUCUGCGUGCUUGAGGUAUAAUGCAAGUACGGUCGUUUUAGGUUUUACCAACUGCGGCUAAUCUUUUUUUAUACUGAGCGUAUUGGAACGUUAUCGAUAAGAAGAGAGCGUCUAGGCGAACAAUGUUCUUUAAGUUUGACCUCAAAUCAGGUAGGAGUACCCGCUGAACUUAAGCAUAUCAAAGUCG
This 850-nucleotide ribosomal RNA is filed under the name uncultured fungus. Its description in RNAcentral is "eukaryotic LSU rRNA". The stretch from base 408 to 561 matches the Rfam family "5.8S ribosomal RNA". The record is from RNAcentral. Lineage: Eukaryota; Fungi.